UAACACAUGCAAGUCGAACGGCAGCGCGGGAGCAAUCCUGGCGGCGAGUGGCGAACGGGUGAGUAAUAUAUCGGAACGUGCCCAUUAGUGGGGGAUAGCCCGGCGAAAGCCGGAUUAAUACCGCAUACGACCUGAGGGUGAAAGCGGGGGAUCGCAAGACCUCGCGCUAUUGGAGCGGCCGAUAUCAGAUUAGCUAGUUGGUGGGGUAAAGGCCUACCAAGGCAACGAUCUGUAGUUGGUCUGAGAGGACGACCAGCCACACUGGGACUGAGACACGGCCCAGACUCCUACGGGAGGCAGCAGUGGGGAAUUUUGGACAAUGGGCGCAAGCCUGAUCCAGCAAUGCCGCGUGCAGGAAGAAGGCCUUCGGGUUGUAAACUGCUUUUGUCAGGGAAGAAAU
Molecule: ribosomal RNA, 400 nt
Filed under: uncultured bacterium
Lineage: Bacteria
Description: bacterial SSU rRNA
Rfam family: Bacterial small subunit ribosomal RNA
Source: RNAcentral